GAGUUUGAUUCUGGCUCAGGAUGAACGCUGGCGGCGUGCCUAACACAUGCAAGUCGAGCGCGGUUGUGCUUAGUAUUGAGUGUUUUAUUGAUAUAAAACAUUGAAUUCUAUGCACAACUGAGCGGCGGACGGGUGAGUAACGCGUGGGUAACCUGCCCUAUACACAUGGAUAACAUACUGAAAAGUUUACUAAUACAUGAUAAAAUAGUUUUUCGGCAUCGAAGAAUUAUCAAAGUGUUAGCGGUAUAGGAUGGACCCGCGUCUGAUUAGCUAGUUGGUGAGAUAACUGCCCACCAAGGCGACGAUCAGUAGCCGACCUGAGAGGGUGAUCGGCCACAUUGGAACUGAGACACGGUCCAAACUCCUAUCGGGAGGCAGGCACGUGGGGAAUAUUGCAUCAAUGGGCGCAAGCCUGAUGCAGC
RNAcentral lists this ribosomal RNA (422 nucleotides) under Peptostreptococcus sp. canine oral taxon 033. RNAcentral describes it as "bacterial SSU rRNA". It matches the Rfam family "Bacterial small subunit ribosomal RNA", at positions 9 to 392 of the family's 1533-position model. Lineage: Bacteria; Bacillati; Bacillota; Clostridia; Peptostreptococcales; Peptostreptococcaceae. The record is from RNAcentral.